UAAUAGAUACCCGGGUAGUCCACGCCGUAAACGAUGAGUGCUAAGUGUUAGAGGGUUUCCGCCCGUUUAGUGCUGCAGCUAACGCAUUAAGCACUCCGCCUGGGGAGUACGACCGCAAGGUUGAAACUCAAAGGAAUUGACGGGGGCCCGCACAAGCGGUGGAGCAUGUGGUUUAAUUCGAAGCAACGCGAAGAACCUUACCAGGUCUUGACAUCCUCUGACCUCCCUAGAGAUAGGGCCUUCCCCUUCGGGGGACAGAGUGACAGGUGGUGCAUGGUUGUCGUCAGCUCGUGUCGUGAGAUGUUGGGUUAAGUCCCGCAACGAGCGCAACCCUUGACCUUAGUUGCCAGCAUUCAGUUGGGCACUCUAAGGUGACUGCCGGUGACAAACCGGAGGAAGGUGGGGAUGACGUCAAAUCAUCAUGCCCCUUAUGACCUGGGCUACACACGUGCUACAAUGGAUGGUACAAAGGGCUGCGAGACCGCGAGGUUAAGCCAAUCCCAUAAAACCAUUCUCAGUUCGGAUUGCAGGCUGCAACC
Molecule: ribosomal RNA, 539 nt
Filed under: uncultured bacterium
Lineage: Bacteria
Description: bacterial SSU rRNA
Rfam family: Bacterial small subunit ribosomal RNA
Source: RNAcentral